RNAcentral lists this long non-coding RNA (276 nucleotides) under Lathyrus oleraceus (garden pea). RNAcentral's name for it is "Pisum sativum (pea) long non-coding RNA (PSAT_LNC029968)". The record is from RNAcentral. Lineage: Eukaryota; Viridiplantae; Streptophyta; Magnoliopsida; Fabales; Fabaceae.
UGACCUUAAAACCGAGCAAUCAAGACAAGACAUCGAGCACGCUCGGCAAGGGGCGGUUUUAGAUGAGAUGAACCUGAUGAUGCGAUAGUUGAUGUUGCACUUUCCGCCUCAGCCUCCUCAGUUUGGCAACAUGAGUCACCCUUCUUUUAUCAUCAUCUAAAACAUUGAGGCCAAUGUUUAGUUCAAGUGUGGGGGAGGUUUUAUUAUGCUUUUCAUUUUAUGUUUUUUAUUUUAUUAUUUCCCAUUUUUACUGUUUUACAUUUGGUUUGUUUUUAC